This 508-nucleotide ribosomal RNA is filed under the name Plecotus teneriffae. Its description in RNAcentral is "partial 16S ribosomal RNA". It matches the Rfam family "Bacterial large subunit ribosomal RNA", at positions 1860 to 2591 of the family's 2925-position model. Lineage: Eukaryota; Metazoa; Chordata; Mammalia; Chiroptera; Vespertilionidae. The record is from RNAcentral.
UGCCCAGUGACCCCAGUUAAACGGCCGCGGUAUCCUGACCGUGCAAAGGUAGCAUAAUCACUUGUUCUCUAAAUAGGGACUUGUAUGAAUGGCCCCACGAGGGUUUGACUGUCUCUUACUUUUAAUCAGUGAAAUUGACAUUCCCGUGAAGAGGCGGGAAUUAAAAAAUAAGACGAGAAGACCCUAUGGAGCUUUAAUUAACUAAUUUACAAAUUAUAAUAUCAAUCUACAAGAAAUAAAUAAAAAUUAACUAAAUUAGCAAUUUAGGUUGGGGCGACCUCGAAAUAAAAACUAACUUUCGAGAAAAUUCACUAAGGCCUACAAGCCAAGGUUAUCCAAUCAUACAUUGAUCCGCUAUAAGCGAUCAACGAAAUAAGUUACCCUAGGGAUAACAGCGCAAUCCUAUUUAAGAGUCCAUAUCGACAAUUAGGGUUUACGACCUCGAUGUUGGAUCAGGACAUCCCAAUGGUGUAGCAGCUAUUAAUGUGUUCGUUUGUUCAACGAUUAA